UGGGGUAUAGCCAAGUGGUAAGGCAGCGGGUUUUGGUCUCGCCAUCCCAGGUUCGAAUCCUGGUACCCCAGCCA
Molecule: transfer RNA, 74 nt
Filed under: Gammaproteobacteria bacterium
Lineage: Bacteria; Pseudomonadati; Pseudomonadota; Gammaproteobacteria
Also listed under: 2 other names
Description: tRNA-Gln
Rfam family: tRNA
About the family: Transfer RNA (tRNA) molecules are approximately 80 nucleotides in length. Their secondary structure includes four short double-helical elements and three loops (D, anti-codon, and T loops). Further hydrogen bonds mediate the characteristic L-shaped molecular structure. tRNAs have two regions of fundamental functional importance: the anti-codon, which is responsible for specific mRNA codon recognition, and the 3' end, to which the tRNAs corresponding amino acid is attached (by aminoacyl-tRNA synthetases). tRNAs cope with the degeneracy of the genetic code in two manners: having more than one tRNA (with a specific anti-codon) for a particular amino acid; and 'wobble' base-pairing, i.e. permitting non-standard base-pairing at the 3rd anti-codon position.
Source: RNAcentral